Molecule: microRNA, 23 nt
Filed under: Macacine gammaherpesvirus 4 (Rhesus lymphocryptovirus)
Lineage: Duplodnaviria; Heunggongvirae; Peploviricota; Herviviricetes; Herpesvirales; Orthoherpesviridae
Description: rlcv-miR-rL1-21-3p
Gene: rlcv-miR-rL1-21-3p
Source: miRBase by way of RNAcentral
AGGCCUCUUCUCACAAUUCUAAU